AGGGUUUGAUCAUGGCUCAGGAUGAACGCUAGCGGCAGGCCUAACACAUGCAAGUCGAGGGGCAGCGGGAGUGCUUGCACUUGCCGGCGACCGGCGCACGGGUGCGUAACGCGUAUGCAAUCUACCUUUUGCUAAGGGAUAGCCCAGAGAAAUUUGGAUUAAUACCUUAUAGUAUGGUGACUUGGCAUCAAGAUAUCAUUAAAGGUUACGGCAAAAGAUGAGCAUGCGUUCUAUUAGCUAGUUGGUGUGGUAACGGCAUACCAAGGCAGCGAUAGAUAGGGGUCCUGAGAGGGAGAUCCCCCACACUGGUACUGAGACACGGACCAGACUCCUACGGGAGGCAGCAGUGAGGAAUAUUGGACAAUGGAGGCAACUCUGAUCCAGCCAUGCCGCGUGCAGGAAGACUGCCCUAUGGGUUGUAAACUGCUUUUAUACAGGAAGAAACACCUCUACGUGUAGAGAUUUGACGGUACUGUAAGAAUAAGGAUCGGCUAACUCCGUGCCAGCCGCCGCGGUAAUAC
RNAcentral lists this ribosomal RNA (521 nucleotides) under uncultured bacterium. Its description in RNAcentral is "bacterial SSU rRNA". It matches the Rfam family "Bacterial small subunit ribosomal RNA", at positions 8 to 526 of the family's 1533-position model. The record is from RNAcentral.